RNAcentral lists this ribosomal RNA (701 nucleotides) under uncultured bacterium. RNAcentral describes it as "bacterial SSU rRNA". It matches the Rfam family "Bacterial small subunit ribosomal RNA", at positions 8 to 694 of the family's 1533-position model. The record is from RNAcentral.
AGAGUUUGAUCCUGGCUCAGGACGAACGCUGGCGGCGUGCCUAAUACAUGCAAGUAGAACGCUGAAGGAGGAGCUUGCUCUUCUGGAUGAGUUGCGAACGGGUGAGUAACGCGUAGGUAACCUGCCUGGUAGCGGGGGAUAACUAUUGGAAACGAUAGCUAAUACCGCAUAAGAGUAGAUGUUGCAUGACAUUUGCUUAAAAGGUGCAAUUGCAUCACUACCAGAUGGACCUGCGUUGUAUUAGCUAGUUGGUGGGGUAACGGCUCACCAAGGCGACGAUACAUAGCCGACCUGAGAGGGUGAUCGGCCACACUGGGACUGAGACACGGCCCAGACUCCUACGGGAGGCAGCAGUAGGGAAUCUUCGGCAAUGGACGGAAGUCUGACCGAGCAACGCCGCGUGAGUGAAGAAGGUUUUCGGAUCGUAAAGCUCUGUUGUAAGAGAAGAACGAGUGUGAGAGUGGAAAGUUCACACUGUGACGGUAUCUUACCAGAAAGGGACGGCUAACUACGUGCCAGCAGCCGCGGUAAUACGUAGGUCCCGAGCGUUGUCCGGAUUUAUUGGGCGUAAAGCGAGCGCAGGCGGUUAGAUAAGUCUGAAGUUAAAGGCUGUGGCUUAACCAUAGUACGCUUUGGAAACUGUUUAACUUGAGUGCAAGAGGGGAGAGUGGAAUUCCAUGUGUAGCGGUGAAAUGCGUAGA